AUUGAACGCUGGCGGCACGCUUAACACAUGCAAGUCGAACGGUAGCAGGUCUAGUUUACUAGAUGCUGACGAGUGGCGGACGGGUGAGUAACGCGUAGGAAUUUCCCCUAUAGUUCGGGACAACUUGAGGAAACUUGAGCUAAUACCGGAUGUGCCCUAUUGGGUAAAGGUUGCUUUCGGUCAGUCGCUAUAGGAUGAGCCUGCGUUGGAUUAGCUAGUUGGUAGGGUAAAGGCUUACCAAGGCGACGAUCCAUAGCUGUUCUGAGAGGAAGAUCAGCCACACUGGGACUGAGACACGGCCCAG
This 304-nucleotide ribosomal RNA is filed under the name uncultured bacterium. RNAcentral's name for it is "bacterial SSU rRNA". It matches the Rfam family "Bacterial small subunit ribosomal RNA", at positions 30 to 334 of the family's 1533-position model. The record is from RNAcentral.